Patiria miniata (bat star) is the source of this 379-nucleotide long non-coding RNA. RefSeq lists it as uncharacterized. The record is from RefSeq and is a predicted model, not a curated record. The transcript has 3 exons. NCBI's taxonomy places the organism in Eukaryota, Metazoa, Echinodermata, Asteroidea, Valvatida, Asterinidae.
GUCGACACGUUUUUUGUGGAUGUGUGGCCUAUGUUUACGGAGGCAAUCCAGUAAAUAGGCCACAUUUAUGGGGCUAGCUAGGCCAUGUCCACCGAGCAUGUUUUGUCAGUUGACGGAGUUUGAAGGUUCUACCAAGGAUGUCAACUGUGGAGCACAUACAGGAUGCAGAGCACAGUGAUGACGUAUCACCAUGGCAACGCGUACUGCUCAACAUCACUUGAAUGAGAUUGUACCGUACCUGACAUCAUUAAUUGUAAAGAGCACCACCUGUUGUUUGGUUAUCGAUCAACAUUAAUGCAGCAGAUAAUGUAGCGGUAGGCUAUAUAGGCCUGUACGUCAGAGUUACUUCUACAACGACGAUAGGUUCAACUACAACUAU